RNAcentral lists this ribosomal RNA (440 nucleotides) under uncultured bacterium. Its description in RNAcentral is "bacterial SSU rRNA". It matches the Rfam family "Bacterial small subunit ribosomal RNA", at positions 30 to 507 of the family's 1533-position model. The record is from RNAcentral.
AUUGAACGCUGGCGGUAUGCUUAAGACAUGCAAGUCGAACGGUAACAGGUUAAGCUGACGAGUGGCGGACGAGUGAGUAACGCGUGGGAAUCUACCUUGUAGUGGGGGAUAAGCCAGGGAAACUUGGACUAAUACCGCAUACGCCCUAAGGGGGAAAGGCGCAAGUCGCUAUAAGGUGAGCCCGCGUCUGAUUAGGUAGUUGGUGGGGUAAAGGCCUACCAAGCCGACGAUCAGUAGCUGGUCUGAGAGGAUGAUCAGCCACGUCGGGACUGAGACACGGCCCGGACUCCUACGGGAGGCAGCAGUCGGGAAUAUUGGACAAUGGGGGAAACCCUGAUCCAGCAAUACCGCGUGUGUGAAGAAGGCCUGCGGGUUGUAAAGCACUUUCAGUUGGGAAGAUAAUGACGUUACCAACAGAAGAAGCACCGGCUAACUCCGUG